This 850-nucleotide ribosomal RNA is filed under the name uncultured crenarchaeote. RNAcentral describes it as "bacterial SSU rRNA". It matches the Rfam family "Archaeal small subunit ribosomal RNA", at positions 71 to 922 of the family's 1478-position model. Lineage: Archaea; Thermoproteati; Thermoproteota. The record is from RNAcentral.
AGCAUACAAGGCAUACGGCUCAGUAACGCGUAGUCAACCUAACCUAUGGACGGGAAUAACCUCGGGAAACUGAGAAUAAUGCCCGAUAGAACAUUAUGCCUGGAAUGGUUUAUGUUCCAAAUGAUUUAUCGCCGUAGGAUGGGACUGCGGCCUAUCAGUUUGUUGGUGAGGUAAUGGCCCACCAAGACUAUUACAGGUACGGGCUCUGAGAGGAGUAGCCCGGAGAUGGGUACUGAGACACGGACCCAGGCCCUAUGGGGCGCAGCAGGCGAGAAAACUUUGCAAUGUGCGAAAGCACGACAAGGUUAAUCCGAGUGGUUUCUGCUAAAGAAACCUUUUGUCAGUCCUAGAAACACUGAUGAAUAAGGGGUGGGCAAGUUCUGGUGUCGGCCGCCGCGGUAAAACCAGCACCUCAAGUGGUCAGGAUGAUUAUUGGGCCUAAAGCAUCCGUAGCCGGCUCUGUAAGUUUUCGGUUAAAUCUGUACGCUCAACGUACAGGCUGCCGGGAAUACUGCAGAGCUAGGGAGUGGGAGAGGUAGACGGUACUCGGUAGGAAGGGGUAAAAUCCUUUGAUCUAUUGAUGACCACCUGUGGCGAAGGCGGUCUACCAGAACACGUCCGACGGUGAGGGAUGAAAGCUGGGGGAGCAAACCGGAUUAGAUACCCGGGUAGUCCCAGCUGUAAACUAUGCAAACUCAGUGAUGCAUUGGCUUGUGGCCAAUGCAGUGCUGCAGGGAAGCCGUUAAGUUUGCCGCCUGGGAAGUACGUACGCAAGUAUGAAACUUAAAGGAAUUGGCGGGGGAGCACCACAAGGGGUGAAGCCUGCGGUUCAAUUGGAGUCAACGCCGGA